CAUGCACCACCACAUCUGUCUUUUA
This 25-nucleotide unclassified non-coding RNA is filed under the name Mus musculus (house mouse). RNAcentral's name for it is "oocyte_clustered_small_RNA11548". The record is from RNAcentral. Lineage: Eukaryota; Metazoa; Chordata; Mammalia; Rodentia; Muridae.